RNAcentral lists this long non-coding RNA (290 nucleotides) under Solanum tuberosum (potato). RNAcentral describes it as "long non-coding RNA (STUB_LNC007552)". Lineage: Eukaryota; Viridiplantae; Streptophyta; Magnoliopsida; Solanales; Solanaceae. The record is from RNAcentral.
UUUUCUUCACUUAUUUUUUCCUUAACUUUGUCUCUCCUCCCUUUUCUUUUCUCCAUUUCCCCAAUACAAAUUGAAGUAAUUUUCUGGGUUCUUGGGAAUUUUUCAGUUUUCUUUUUGCUUGUUUAAGUAGAGAAGAAGAAGAAAGUAAAAAAAAGUUUAGAUUUUUUUCCUGUUUUAUUCACCUUUCUGAGUUCUAAUCCAUCUUUUGUUUCUGGGUUCUUGGGGUUUUUUCAUUUUGUUGUACUAUCUUGAAGGGAAGUGAAAAAAGGGAGGAUUUUUGGAGUAUUAGU